AGGAACCUUAGUGAAGGGGUCCUCUCUGUGCAGACAAGGAGACUCAGAGCCACAAAAUGAGAAGUAUGUCUGGGGAGCUUGUCAGAAAUGCAGAUUCAUGGGCUCAGAACUCAGCGGUUCUGAUUGUCAUGGAGUUUGGAUAAGGCCCAGGAACCAUCGUUUGUAACAGAUCAAUUAGAGAUAAUUCUGUGUUGACACCUCUAUAUCACCCGGACACAGUGCCAGGAACCUGCAGGGACUAUGAAGACAAGGGCAAUGAUCUAGAGAAGCAGUCUGGGACCCUUGAUGACCUUAUGAGCUGGGCCACCAGCCCACCAUGAACCAGCUGCCUCUCUCUGGAUGGCCACAUAAGAGAAAAGUUAACCCACUGAAUUUUGAAUGUUUCUUUGUUACAGCAGCUUAGCCUCUACCCUAACUAAUACAUUCUUUACUACAGUAAAAUUGUUAAAGUCCUAAAUUCUUUAAGUGUCUUUGUUACAAAUUAUCAGACUCCCCCUUCCCUUCACCCCCAAACUCACCACUCUGUAAGUCUCCUCUGCUCUGGGCAGCACACUCGAGAAUCCUGUUAGAGCUACUUGCAAAGUUUUUGCUCUUUUACAUCCUGGCUGCUAGAGAAGCUUUAUUUCCCUGCAACACCUUAAAAUGUACAUGUAAAACAGUAAAUGGCUUACUACUGAAAACACAGCUUACCCUUGAGAAGUUCCAUUUUUUCAUGCCUUGAUCUCUCUAGGUCGAAGAGUAUGUCUUGGUUAUAGAAAUUCAUGUCAGAGCAGCGAAGUGGCUUCUGUUUAAAGCAGAAUGUUUUCAGGAGUGACAUGUCAACCUGGAGGAUCUUGGGAUCCACUCUUGCCCUUCCUGGCCCCACCUGCAGCUGUUCUGGUUAAACCUUCAGGGAUGUGAGAGGAUUGUUACUUGAUGAGAAGCACCCCACCAAGAUGAGAGGUGGGGGGAUUGCAUAAAGACAUAUUUCCUUUCACGUUAAAAGAGAGAAAAUAAAAGAGCAAGGGAAAUCAUAGUAAUACAAUUUUUUAAAAUCCUUGUUAGGCAGCACUUCAGGCAGGAGAAAGGUGUUGAGAAAUCAAGUAAACAAUGACAGCACGCCAGGACUCCCAAAAGGCUAGGUGUUGCUUGUGGAAGCCGCCUGAGAAACAGAAAGGACACACUCAGGAUAAAAAUGAAAUAAAAAGUGGAUCAUGGUGGUGAGAAGAAAGGAAAUUCCACCUCUGAUCCCCAUCUCACAAAUGCAUAAACUGCUUUAUUGUUUUGCUGAGAAGCUCACAAAAUGCAUAAACCACUUUACUGAAACAAAGACUAAUACCCUUGAUGGCUCCUGCCACCUCUGCCAGCCCUGCUCAGAGGGAUGAGAACCUUCCGUCUGCCCUUGGCCCAUCCAGACCCUCAACCAGUUUGGGUCAAGAUAGCCUGCACAGUCCUGGGCUCCCAACUGGCCAGCCAGUGGAGUCUGGAAGCAAUUCUGCAGCCGUGACAUCUAAUGCAUAUGGGGUGAGUCUCACAUACACCCAUGUCCACCGAGCAGCAGCUUCCCCCAUGACCCUCGCCAAUCUGGCAAGUAGAAAAACAAUGGCUUUGGGCACGGGUUCAAAUCCCAGCUCUGCUACUUCCCAGUUGAAUGAUCUUGGACAAAUUACUUAACGGUUCUCUGUCUGUUUUCUCCCCUGUCAAUUCACAAGGCUAUGUUAAGGAUUAAAGAGAUGGUAGAUAUUAAA
Pan troglodytes (chimpanzee) is the source of this 1727-nucleotide long non-coding RNA. RefSeq lists it as uncharacterized. The record is from RefSeq and is a predicted model, not a curated record. The transcript is spliced from 2 exons. NCBI's taxonomy places the organism in Eukaryota, Metazoa, Chordata, Mammalia, Primates, Hominidae.